CCCCCGGGCGCGGCCGCGCACGACGCCGACCUGGGCCAGCACGGUGGCGAGCUCCAGCGGCGCGGGUGUUCAGUGAGCCACAGGCAAGAAGAGCCAUUUUAGUCUUCACAGCUGGGGGCCCGGAGACAUCUAAUUGAGUCUGGAUGCUUUAUUUGGCUUUCCUUAUUUUGGACACUUAGCGAAUUCAAAAUUUACCUCGGAAACACCUGCACCACUUUGGGAAAGAAACAAAAUUGAGGACUCUUUCUUCUGUGGACAGUUGACAGUAAUUUUUUGAGUUGACUUGUUAAUCAUUAAGAAAAUUACUGUAACACUCCAGUUUAUACUGAAAUUCUUUUUCAGCUUGUAGGUUUAAAAGUUCAGCUUGCAGUAUUCAAAUACUGUGGAAGCCUCUUGAUUUAAUGGACCGGUUGUGGUUUCUAAUCCAAGCAAGGCAAAACCUCUUACCCAAAGAGCUCAGAAAAAAAUCCCACGAUUAAAAAAUAUUUUGUAAUUGAAA
This is a long non-coding RNA of Phacochoerus africanus (Common warthog), 499 nucleotides long. RefSeq lists it as uncharacterized. The transcript has 3 exons. The record is from RefSeq and is a predicted model, not a curated record. NCBI's taxonomy places the organism in Eukaryota, Metazoa, Chordata, Mammalia, Artiodactyla, Suidae.